Molecule: ribosomal RNA, 457 nt
Filed under: uncultured bacterium
Lineage: Bacteria
Description: bacterial SSU rRNA
Rfam family: Bacterial small subunit ribosomal RNA
Source: RNAcentral
GCACAAGCGGUGGAGCAUGUGGUUUAAUUCGACGCAACGCGCAGAACCUUACCAGCCCUUGACAUGUCUGGGACCGGUCGCAGAGACGCGACCUUCUCUUCGGAGCCCGGAACACAGGUGCUGCAUGGCUGUCGCCAGCUCGUGUCGUGAGAUGUUGGGUUAAGUCCCGCAACGAGCGCAACCCCCGUCCUUAGUUGCUACCAUUUAGUUGAGCACUCUAAGGAGACUGCCGGUGAUAAGCCGCGAGGAAGGUGGGGAUGACGUCAAGUCCUCAUGGCCCUUACGGGCUGGGCUACACACGUGCUACAAUGGCGGUGACAAUGGGACGCUAAGGGGCAACCCUUCGCAAAUCUCAAAAAGCCGUCUCAGUUCGGAUUGGGCUCUGCAACUCGAGCCCAUGAAGUUGGAAUCGCUAGUAAUCGUGGAUCAGCACGCCACGGUGAAUACGUUCCCGGGC